AACGUAGGAGGCGAGCGUUAUCCGGAUUUACUGGGUGUAAAGCGCGUGUAGGCGGUCCUGCAAGUGGUGCGUGAAAGCGCCCGGCUCAACCGGGCGAGGACGUGGGCGAACUGCAGGGCUAGAGGCAGGUAGAGGCGUGUGGAAUUCCGGGUGUAGUGGUGAAAUGCGUAGAGAUCCGGAGGAACACCAGUGGCGAAGGCGACACGCUGGGCCUGGCCUGACGCUGAGAGGCGAAAGCAUGGGGAGCGAACGGGAUUAGAAACCCUUGUAGUCC
RNAcentral lists this ribosomal RNA (274 nucleotides) under uncultured prokaryote. RNAcentral's name for it is "partial 16S ribosomal RNA". It matches the Rfam family "Bacterial small subunit ribosomal RNA", at positions 524 to 796 of the family's 1533-position model. The record is from RNAcentral.